Physcomitrium patens is the source of this 2158-nucleotide non-coding RNA. The record is from RefSeq and is a predicted model, not a curated record. Lineage: Eukaryota; Viridiplantae; Streptophyta; Bryopsida; Funariales; Funariaceae.
ACUCCUCUACGGCUAACGAUGACGCGUUGACACCUCGCUCCGCGACAUUAUCAAGCGCACACACACACACCGAAGUCGAAAGGUAGGAUUGGCACACACGACCCUGCCAGACACUCUCGAACGGUAGAAACCCCUGCUCACGAUCUAUAUUUGAAGCACCGCGAGGCGAGGUAGCCUACCUUUUACAUACUGGUGUGGUUGUCGGAGAACAUAUGGGAGCUGCAAAUGGUUGCGUUAUCACCGCAUUGCACGCAUUGAGGCAGCACGGAUUUCACGAACGUAGUUGUUCUUGCCCUGCGUUGUUGCUGGUUGCUGCAGGCCAGUAAGAUAAACGAGAGACAUUGAUGAUUGAUUUGAGAGGAGAGAAGCAUGUCCAAGUGCACUGCCCACGUGUAAUGGAGCAAAAAUGGUUCAACGAAUGGUCUACAGUCGGAGCUUUUUGCAUAUUUCUGCAAACAUUGUUGCGCCCAUGUGUUGAUCACGGGUAACGAGUGAAAUCCAGCUCAUUAUUUUAGGGUCGUGAUUGCCACGAUGUCAUCUAUGUGAUGAUUUGCGUUCGAAUUUCAUUUUUGAAUUAUUUUAGGUUGCGAUUGUUUGUUUAGAGAGGACUUCCGAGGUUUUGGUUUUAGUGUCCUCAUGUUACUGACAGUUGGUUGGGGAGACGCUGUGCCAGUAUUGAAGGCUUUUGUAUGGACUUGCGUUGGUCAUCUGAUUGUAGGGUUUUAUUGCGCAGAAGAAAGGACACCUCAUCAAUCUACACCACUCUCUUCCAAUACUUAAAUGUAAUUUUCUGCAUGUGAAGGUGACUAAAAUGCACGCAUUCGAAACGUAGUUUGAAGCUUGCUUUCGAAUUUCACUUGAGCACGGUGAAACAUAAUGUAGAUCUGUCCUCGUCUUUGAGUUACUGUCGACGAGACGUUACUGUUAAAAUGGUGCCCGCAGAUACCCUGCUGCAGAAAAUGCCUGAGGAAAACCGAUGAAGCACACAUAUUGAAUCGAUAACAAGCAGUUCAGCCAUUUUAUUGUUUUCGGAGCUGGCAAAUACUUGGUCAAGAGUGAUGCAGAGGCGUAGGGAACGUGGUGUACGAUGGCUGUGGCUUUUUCGUUUGUUAUCUAUGAGAGCAAAACUUGGAAACUGCUUCUUACUCGUCCGUGACAAAGCGGUGCUCUUAGUUCUGUUGCUCAUCUUUAUAACUGGAAGUCAAGCUGGAAGUGAAAGCUUUCAGGAUGCUCAAGUACCACCGUGUGCAUUACAAUUAGAUGGCGGCUUAGUCCACUCAGCCAUAGAAGUUGGAUAUCCUGCACAACGUUCCUAAGUUGCACUUACGUUUGUCUGAUUAAGAGAAAUAGAAUAUCCCUAAUUUGCACGUCGAUGACAUGGAUUAUCCUUCUUAAGUUUAGGAAUCUUCUCUAAUCGACGAUGUCUGGGUUGUAUGAUGAGGUUAAGCUUGUGCAUUCAAUGGAGAAACUGUUGACAGGAGUGUACGUACAGGUUUAAAUGCUGGUGAAAUCCUGGUAACUGUGGCUGCACCUGUAGCACGCGGUGAAGCAAACAACGAGCUGCUCGAGUUUAAGGGGAAGGUAACUUACACUCUUCCAAUAUUGUUAAAAGCUCAUUAGAAUUUUGUGCAGUAGCAACAUUGUGUGCAGCGAUGUAAUAGUAUGCCUUCUUUCUUUGCUUGCUGCUGCCAAUUAGCUCAAUACUGAUAUUUUUAUAUGCACUUAAGCGCUUACUUCAAUAGAGUUGGAUCUAGUUUUCUUGAGUAUUGCAAAUUGGGUUUUAAUAAUGGCCGGCAUUCACCAGUCACAGGUGCUGGGACUAAGAUCGACAGUAAUGGUUUUGCUACGAGGUUAUAAUAGUAAAUCUAAGCUUUUUUUGGUAAAAUCCUAUACUGACACUCCUGAUUUAUGUAGAACACAGUGCAUUUGCUAAACAUGGAUGAUGUGUCGCAGGUCAAUAGUUGUGGAUUGAGAAUUGGAAAACCUGGUGAAAGACCUCAUUGUAUAGGAAGCUCCUUGCAGUUAUAUAUGUUGCCUUCAGUAUUCAUUGAUUUUGGUUAUUUCUUUAUGUACGUGUUGGAUGUUAUUAUACAAUACGACUUGAGAUUGUCCACGAGAUUAUAAUGUUUUUGAGAAGGAAAAACUAAUUCAUGAAGAA